This 460-nucleotide ribosomal RNA is filed under the name uncultured bacterium. Its description in RNAcentral is "partial 16S ribosomal RNA". It matches the Rfam family "Bacterial small subunit ribosomal RNA", at positions 338 to 795 of the family's 1533-position model. The record is from RNAcentral.
CCUACGGGUGGCAGCAGUGAGGAAUAUUGGUCAAUGGACGAGAGUCUGAACCAGCCAAGCAGCGUGAAGGAUGACUGUCCUAUGGGUUGUAAACUUCUUUUAUAAAGGAAUAAAAUGAGGCACGUGUGCCUUAUUGCAUGUACUUUAUGAAUAAGGAUCGGCUAACUCCGUGCCAGCAGCCGCGGUAAUACGGAGGAUCCGAGCGUUAUCCGGAUUUAUUGGGUUUAAAGGGUGCGUAGAUGGGUUGUUAAGUCAGUCGUUAAAGCUUGCGGCUCAACCGUAAGAGUGCAAUUGAUACUGGCAGUCUUGAGUACAGGUGAGGUAGGCGGAAUUCGUAGUGUAGCGGUGAAAUGCUUAGAUAUCACGAAGAACCCCGAUUGCGAAGGCAGCUUACUAGACUGUAACUGACGUUGAGGCUCGAAAGUGUGGGUAUCAAACAGGAUUAGAUACCCCAGUAGUC